UUCUGAGGAGGAGAAGCAAGAAGGAUCGGAGGACCAAGAUGCAGCGUGGAUUCUACCAGGACAGCCCACACAAAUACAGAUAUCUGAAUUGGUUAGGCCCAGAGUGUUGAUGUUGGGCUUCCUGGGAGGAAGGGUGUACUCCUGCCCAUACUGCCCCCUGCAGGGGCUCACAGACAUGAUACUGGUCCAGCACUGUGUCGGCAGCCACACAGGAGAGAAUGCUCCAGCUGUGUGUCCCAUCUGUGCUGCCACUGUUUGAGGCAGUGCUAGUUACUGCAGCCGAAACCUCAUCGGUCACCUGGCUAUCAGGCAUUAUUUCAGCUAUGACACCUACAUGAAUGUAGGGGAGGACGAUUACACCCAACUCUGCCUUGCCAUUCAGCAGUCACUGCGACAAGGCACCGGCAUCACAGAGUGACAACAAGGCCCUAAGAGAGCUACACAUUAUGUUCCAACACAAUACAUACCUCUUCAACCGUUCCUUGCCACAUCAAUGAUGUCUAUGAUGUUACUUAUUGUGUGUGUAUCCUGUUUCUUUUCUCUCCUUCUCCCCUCACAGGUGGCAACUACAUAGGCAACUACAUGUCACUUUGUCCCCACCUGUGAGUUUUGUUAUGGUGUUUGACUGUUUGUUUGAUGGUGGGAAAAGGGGGUACCAAGACAAGUUGCCUAUGGGCCUACAUUACCCGUAGGAAUACUUUGUCUAAAUACCCUAGUUCGAACUGGGCGGACCACCCGCUGUAUUUUUGGUUAGUUAGUUAGCUGUAUUGAAGUAGGCUAGUCUAGUUUAGGGGUGUAUUUGGAUAUUUGUUUCUUUCCUUGGGUCCAGCUCAGCCCCUUUUCCUGCCCCCCUUUGCCGUGUGUUUAAAAAUAAACCCUGAGUGUUUGACGGUAA
Long non-coding RNA from Oncorhynchus kisutch (coho salmon), 895 nucleotides. RefSeq lists it as uncharacterized. The record is from RefSeq and is a predicted model, not a curated record. The transcript is spliced from 5 exons. Lineage: Eukaryota; Metazoa; Chordata; Actinopteri; Salmoniformes; Salmonidae.